UGGGGAAUAUUGGACAAUGGGGGAAACCCUGAUCCAGCGAUGCCGCGUGAGUGAAGAAGGCCUUCGGGUCGUAAAGCUCUUUAGGUCGGGAAGAAGUUUGGUCGAGGAAAUGCGAUCAAAUUGACGGUACCGACAGAAUAAGCACCGGCAAACUCUGUGCCAGCAGCCGCGGUAAUACAGAGGGUGCAAGCGUUAAUCGGAGUUACUGGGCGUAAAGGGCGCGUAGGCGGUGAGAUGUGUGUGAUGUGAAAGCCCCGGGCUUAACCUGGGAAGUGCAUCGCAAACUAUCUGACUGGAGUAGAUGAGAGGGUGGCGGAAUUUCCGGUGUAGCGGUGAAAUGCGUAGAGAUCGGAAGGAACGUCAAUGGCGAAGGCAGCCACCUGGCAUCAUACUGACGCUG
This 400-nucleotide ribosomal RNA is filed under the name uncultured bacterium. Its description in RNAcentral is "bacterial SSU rRNA". It matches the Rfam family "Bacterial small subunit ribosomal RNA", at positions 355 to 748 of the family's 1533-position model. The record is from RNAcentral.